This 550-nucleotide ribosomal RNA is filed under the name uncultured bacterium. RNAcentral describes it as "bacterial SSU rRNA". It matches the Rfam family "Bacterial small subunit ribosomal RNA", at positions 355 to 896 of the family's 1533-position model. The record is from RNAcentral.
UAGGGANUCUUCCACAAUGGGCGCAAGCCUGAUGGAGCAACACCGCGUGAGUGAAGAAGGGUUUCGGCUCGUAAAGCUCUGUUGUUAAAGAAGAACACGUAUGAGAGUAACUGUUCAUACGUUGACGGUAUUUAACCAGAAAGUCACGGCUAACUACGUGCCAGCAGCCGCGGUAAUACGUAGGUGGCAAGCGUUAUCCGGAUUUAUUGGGCGUAAAGAGAGUGCAGGCGGUUUUCUAAGUCUGAUGUGAAAGCCUUCGGCUUAACCGGAGAAGUGCAUCGGAAACUGGAUAACUUGAGUGCAGAAGAGGGUAGUGGAACUCCAUGUGUAGCGGUAGAAUGCGUAGAUAUAUGGAAGAACACCAGUGGCGAAGGCGGCUACCUGGUCUGCAACUGACGCUGAGACUCGAAAGCAUGGGUAGCGAACAGGAUUAGAUACCCUGGUAGUCCAUGCCGUAAACGAUGAGUGCUAGGUGUUGGAGGGUUUCCGCCCUUCAGUGCCGGAGCUAACGCAUUAAGCACUCCGCCUGGGGAGUACGACCGCAAGGUUG